AUUUCGUGAUGAGGGCAUUUCCAUAAUAACUUUUUUUGUAUCGUUCCCAUGCCUCAUACAAGGACUCAUCAUCCAUUUGUUGGAAGGCAGUGAUCUCGUUCCUCAACUU
Molecule: non-coding RNA, 109 nt
Organism: Gossypium arboreum
Lineage: Eukaryota; Viridiplantae; Streptophyta; Magnoliopsida; Malvales; Malvaceae
Source: Rfam